CUAACCCGCACAAUCAACCCAGCUGAUGACCUCUAUCUAACCCGCACAAUCAACCCGGCUGAUGACCUCUAUCUAACCCACACAAUCAACCCAGCUGAUGACCUCUAUCUAACCCACAGAAUCAACCCGGCUGAUGACCUCUAUCUAACCCACACAAUCAACCCGGCUGAUGACCUCUAUCUAACCCACACAAUCAACCCUGCUGAUGACCUCUAUCUAACCCACACAAUCAACCCGGCUGAUGAUCUCUAUCUAACCCACACAAUCAACCCGGCUGAUGAUCUCUAUCUAACCCACACAAUCAACCCGGCUGAUGACCUCUAUCUAACCCACACAAUCAACCCGGCUGAUGAUCUCUAUCUAACCCACACAAUCAACCCGGCUGAUGAUCUCUAUCUAACCCGCACAAUCAACCCGGCUGAUGAUCUCUAUCUAACCCGCACAAUCAACCCGGCUGAUGAUCUCUAUCUAACCCACACAAUCAACCCGGCUGAUGAUCUCUAUCUAACCCACACAAUCAACCCGGCUGAUGAUCUCUAUCUAACCCGCACAAUCAACCCGGCUGAUGAUCUCUAUCUAACCCGCACAAUCAACCAAGCUGAUGACCUCUAUCUAACCCGCACAAUCAACCCAGCUGAUGAUCUCUAUCUAACCCACACAAUCCACCAGGCUGAUGAUCUCUAUCUAACCCACACAAUCAACCUGGCUGAUGACCUCUAUCUAACCUGCACAAUCAACCCAGCUUUUCACAGUGGACUGGCGAAGGGUGGAAAAGGGCAGGCGUCACCUCCAGUCUCUGGUUGCAGCUGUCUGUGCAGUGCUGGCUGACAUCCUGGUCGCAGCUGUGUGUGCAGUGCUGGCUGACGUCCUGGUUGCAGCUGUCUGUGCAGUGCUGGCUGACGUCCUGGUCGCAGCUGUCUGUGCAGUGCUGGCUGAUGUCCACGCUGACCACAGCCUCACAGGGAAACUUCAUGCUGAUCACAACAGCAUCUGCAUCUUUUAAGGCGGCCAUAUCUAAGCAGAAGAAAACUUUAGAUGAUACAAAAGUUGAUUUAGGCAAAUGAGAAACUGUUUUGUUUGGUUUUGUUUUUGAGAGAAUCUUGCCGUA
This 1108-nucleotide long non-coding RNA is filed under the name Pan troglodytes (chimpanzee). RNAcentral describes it as "long non-coding RNA NONPTRT000039". Lineage: Eukaryota; Metazoa; Chordata; Mammalia; Primates; Hominidae. The record is from RNAcentral.